AUUGAACGCUGGCGGCAUGCCUAACACAUGCAAGUCGAACGGCAGCACAGUCGUAGCAAUACGAUGGGUGGCGAGUGGCGGACGGGUGAGGAAUGCAUCGGAAUCUGCCCGAUCGUGGGGGAUAACGCAUCGAAAGGUGCGCUAAUACCGCAUGAGAUCGAGAGAUGAAAGCGGGGGACCGCAAGGCCUCGCGCGAUCGGAUGAGCCGAUGCCGGAUUAGCUAGUUGGCGGGUAAAGGCCCACCAAGGCGACGAUCCGUAGCUGGUCUGAGAGGAUGAUCAGCCACACUGGGACUGAGACACGGCCCAGACUCCUACGGGAGGCAGCAGUGGGGAAUAUUGGACAAUGGGCGCAAGCCUGAUCCAGCAAUGCCGCGUGUGUGAAGAAGGCCUUCGGGUUGGUAAGCACUUUAUUCGGAGCGAAAGACGGA
This 430-nucleotide ribosomal RNA is filed under the name uncultured bacterium. Its description in RNAcentral is "bacterial SSU rRNA". It matches the Rfam family "Bacterial small subunit ribosomal RNA", at positions 29 to 455 of the family's 1533-position model. The record is from RNAcentral.